CUCUCUCUAAACACACGUUUCUCUUUUAACUUGUCUCUAUCGCCCCCUCUCCUCUGCAUCCUUCCCAAGGUACUUCAUUCUUUUCCUCCCUCUAAAUUUCUCCCUUAUUUUACCUUCGCUCUUUUCAGUUUUCAUGGUAUUUUAUUUUAGUUUUCUAGAUCUCACUUUCUUAGAUUUGUUGCAAUUUGUGAGAAUUAAAUUGAUUGUCUUUGUGGAGUGUUGGUCUGUUAGGGUUUAAGUUUUUGGAUUGAAGUUUAUCUAAUUGUAUUGAACUUUGUGUGUAAAGUUAUGUUCUUUUGAUCUAUAACUAAAAAAGAAUUUCUGUAGCAAAUAAGAAAAGAAACUGCUGCAAUACAAGAAUUACAGAUUGAUAAGUAGAGCUAUUAAUAAACAAAAACAAAAGGUGAAAAGCUCAUAAACCACCUGUACAGAAUUCUAAGAAAUAAAACAGUAACACAUUCAAAAAACAUAAUUAGCAUAACUGCCUAUAUUUUAUCUUGUCUUUCUGAAAACCCUUUUCAUGAUGAAAAUUUGGUUUCUUUAUUGUCAGUCAUAAUAUAAUAAAUGGAGCCCAUAAAAGCAUUUUUCUUCUAUUUCCCUUUGGCUGGAAGUCUUUUCUUAUUUAGAAAAGGGAAAACAAAAUUAUAAAUGGAUGUGUUUUUGUAGUGUAAGUUUAUUGAUAAAAUGCAGAAUGUAGUUUAGGGGAUUUUGGCUUGAUGAUUUUCUUUCUUACCCUUUGUUUCUAACUGAAUUUCAGAUUGACUGAUUGAUCUUCAUGAAUUCAACAACUACUGGACCAUCUACCGUUUCCUGCAAAUCGGGAAACAAGAACAUCUUCUUCUGGAUUCUUUUCUGCCUAUUNNNN
This 865-nucleotide long non-coding RNA is filed under the name Ricinus communis (castor bean). RNAcentral's name for it is "long non-coding RNA (RCOM_LNC002354)". Lineage: Eukaryota; Viridiplantae; Streptophyta; Magnoliopsida; Malpighiales; Euphorbiaceae. The record is from RNAcentral.